UUUAUGCAUAAGAUAUACUAACCAAAUAACACGCCUCAAGGUGUAUCAUAAAGAUUUUCAGAUUAAAUUUCAGAUGAUACAUAUUGGAGAGUAUUAGGAUCAUUUUUCAUUUUGUAUUCUUCCUCUCUCCUUUAGUUAUAGAUAUACGCGAUUAAGUUCUGUGAGACCUCUCCUUCUGAAAUUUUCUUUCUCUCCCUCUAUUGAUCAUUCCAUUUAAGAGUUUAGAAUUUGAAGAUAAUGUUCAAUAAAAUUGUCAAUCUCAAAAAUAUAUUUUCUAGAAGUUUCAGCUCAUUUUCAUAAGACUCAAGGUUUGAGAUAAGACAGCCUUUAUAGAACUCAUCUCAAGGUAUAAACUCAUUAUAUAAUUAAAGCAAGUCGUGCAAUAUAAGGAAGUUCAUUAAAAACAAUCCAUAAAAAAAGAUACUGAAUAUCUGAAGCUCAUCUUAAAUCACUAAGAUUGAAAACACAUAUUUCAAUAACAUUAGAGCACUUUCAGAAUCUUUAUAUUUAAUAUUGAGUUUCGAUACACAAUGGAGGAUAUUUUAAUAAGUAUUAGGACAUUAUGUAUCAAAGUUAGGCAAGUAGAAAGAUAGAUCAAGAUUAAUUCAUUCUGCCUAAAUAGAGAUAUCUUUCUCUUCUUCUUUUUACAAAUUU
RNAcentral lists this long non-coding RNA (654 nucleotides) under Phoenix dactylifera (date palm). RNAcentral describes it as "long non-coding RNA (PDAC_LNC010804)". The record is from RNAcentral. Lineage: Eukaryota; Viridiplantae; Streptophyta; Magnoliopsida; Arecales; Arecaceae.